CGUGUGUUCCAUCGCGGUCUGCUUCCUGGUGAGUUUUAAAACGUCCCAACUGGAGCACAGAGUGCAGGUGCUGGAGAUGGAGAAAAAGCCCGUUUUCCAACCCCCGGAAGCCUCCUUUCUGGGCGAAGACGGGAAUGUCUUACCUGUGUUUCGGAACACCAUAGACAAACUCCUGCAAGAGCGGCUCAGCGAGGUGCUGCCCAAAGUGCGGCUGGCGCGGGACACUGGCCCGGAAUGCACCUGUCCUCCAGGCCCUCCAGGCAAACGGGGCAGGAUGGGAAGGCGAGGUGAUCCUGG
Molecule: long non-coding RNA, 297 nt
Organism: Conger conger (European conger)
Lineage: Eukaryota; Metazoa; Chordata; Actinopteri; Anguilliformes; Congridae
Exons: 3
Source: RefSeq, a predicted model, not a curated record